GCGGACGUAGCUCAGUUGGUAGAGCAUCAGCUUCCCAAGCUGAGGGUCGCCGGUUCGAGCCCGGUCGUCCGCU
RNAcentral lists this transfer RNA (73 nucleotides) under Gaiellales bacterium. RNAcentral's name for it is "tRNA-Gly". It matches the Rfam family "tRNA". Rfam says of the family: Transfer RNA (tRNA) molecules are approximately 80 nucleotides in length. Their secondary structure includes four short double-helical elements and three loops (D, anti-codon, and T loops). RNAcentral also lists the same sequence under 2 other names. Lineage: Bacteria; Bacillati; Actinomycetota; Thermoleophilia; Gaiellales. The record is from RNAcentral.